This 500-nucleotide ribosomal RNA is filed under the name uncultured bacterium. RNAcentral's name for it is "partial 16S ribosomal RNA". It matches the Rfam family "Bacterial small subunit ribosomal RNA", at positions 30 to 523 of the family's 1533-position model. The record is from RNAcentral.
AUUGAACGCUGGCGGAAUGCUUUACACAUGCAAGUCGAACGGCAGCACGGGGGCAACCCUGGUGGCGAGUGGCGAACGGGUGAGUAAUACAUCGGAACGUGCCCAGUCGUGGGGGAUAACGUAGCGAAAGUUACGCUAAUACCGCAUACGAUCUACGGAUGAAAGCGGGGGACCGUAAGGCCUCGCGCGAUUGGAGCGGCCGAUGUCAGAUUAGGUAGUUGGUGAGGUAAAGGCUCACCAAGCCGACGAUCUGUAGCUGGGCUGUGAGGACGACCAGCCACACUGGGACUGAGACACGGCCCAGACUCCUACGGGAGGCAGCAGUGGGGAAUUUUGGACAAUGGGCGCAAGCCUGAUCCAGCCAUUCCGCGUGCAGGACGAAGGCCUUCGGGUUGUAAACUGCUUUUGUACGGAACGAAAAGGCUCUGGUUAAUACCUGGGGCUCAUGACGGUACCGUAAGAAUAAGCACCGGCUAACUACGUGCCAGCAGCCGCCGUAA